UAUUUGCAGUUGUGCCUGCUUUCUGUUUAUGGACAGGUACUUAUCCUGCUAUUCAGAAUAGAUAGGCAUGAUGGCAGGUCCUCAGUGAAGAGCAGCAGGCGGGUUUCCUUCACGUGUUUAUCUUUGUUAGAACAUGAUGCAUUACGGAUUUAUUACAACAAAAUCAAACCUUAAAAGUUCAGCAAGGUGGUCAGUUAUAAACUAAAGAUACAAAAGGUAAUAGUUAAUAAAUUGCUCUAAAAUGUCAUUUUAAAAGAUGGUACUAUUCACAAAGAAAUAAGUUAGUAAGAAAUACAUAGGACCUCUAUGAGGAAAACUCUUAAGGGAAAUUAAAGAAGAUUGGAAGACACUUUUUUGGAUGAGGAGAUUGUUCAUCAAAUUCUCCCCCAAAUUAUGAAUUUAACAAAACCAAAACUGUUUGCAUAUAUUUGUUUGCUUGUGUAUAUGUUUGCAUUUUAAACCAUAUCUUGAAAUAAUAAGUAUGAGGAUAGCCAAGAAAUUUCAUAGAAAAACAACAGGAGGGACUUGUACAUCCGAUAUUACAGAGUACAGCAGGACUCCAGUAACUAAAACUGUAACUCGUGCAGAAAUUCAUAUAAACCAAUGAAAGAGUUGGGAGUCCAGAACAAUUCCAAUUGUAAGAAGAAAUGGUGAAUUUUUCAAUUCAGUGAUGGUGUAUAACUGGUUUUCUAUGUGAGAAAGGCAGUACAGCAAAACAAGUAAGUACAGAGACUAAAGACACUACAUGUGUUAAAAUCUGAACUUGCUAAUAAUACUCACUACCUGUGACCUUACACAAGUUACGUAACCACUCUGUGCCUCACUUUCUUCAUCUCUUCUCCCCACCGAUGGCACUAUCAAGGGUUAGGUAGAUUAAUAUUUGUAGAAGGCUCAGAGGAGAACCAGUUCUACAGAAGUUACCUACUAAGUAUCAGCCAUUGUUCUAUCAUUUAAGAAAAAAAGAAGUCCAAUCCUUAUCUUCUACCCAAUAUACACCCUACUAAAUUCAAGUGGAUUAAAGUUUUUUUUUUUUAAUUUCUAAAAUACUAGAGAAAAGAUGGGUAAACUUUUUAUCUAAAAUAACCUUGGGUCAGAAAAAACCUAAAUGAUAUCAAAGCCAAAAAACAUGAAAACUUGAUUAAUUUGCCUCUAUAAAAAUAAUGUUAGAAAAGUACAAACAACUAGGGAAGUACAUUUAUAAUGCAUCUUAGAGCAGAGAAGUUAGCAUCAUUAGUAAAAGCUUUAAAAUAAAUUGUUUUUUAAGAACAUGCAAUUUGAGGGGCGCCUGGGUGGCUCAGUUGGUUGGGCAUCUGACUUGAUUUCGGCUCAGGUCAUGAUCUCAGGAUCAUGAGAUUGAGCCCCAUGUCAGGCUCUGCACUGGUUCUGGAGCCUGCUCGAGAUUCUUUCCCUCUCCCUUUGCCCCCCACUUUUCUAAAAAAAAAAAAAUAUAUAUAUAUAUAUAUAUAUAUAUAUAUAUAUAUAUAUAUGUAUAUAUGUAUAUACACACACACACACACACACACAAUUCAGUAAGUGCUGUUAGUGUCCACCAAAUCCCUUUGACCAGGCUGGUGUUCCCUCCAGCUGCUUCAGAUUUGGGUACUAAUGGUUUAUCUUCACCCUUCCCCAGAGCAUUGCCCUUAGCUGAUGUAGUCACUUUACCCAAAAGAUGCCCCCACCCCUUGAGGUCGGCCCAUGGCCAAUGCCUGAUGCAGGGUGUUAUCACCUGACCCUCUGGCCUCUAUGGCAUGAUUUAUGCCCCUGAGCUGGAAUAAGGCUGAGGAGAUACUUCUGAAAGCAUAUCUUUGCCUGUUUCUUCUCCUGCCCUGUCCUGUCUCUCCUUGCCUUGUAGAGCAUGCUCAAUAAAUCACUAACACAAAAAUCCUCAUUUCAAGUGCUGCUUCCAGGGAACCUGACUUAAUAGAAAAUUGCGCAGGAAAAUGUUCAGUAAACAUGAAGAUGCUGACCUUUUUUAGUAAUCAGGGAAAAUUCACCAAAAAUGUAUCUUGCCGGUCAGGUUAAAAGGUAAAAGAUAUGUAAAAUGAGAAUUCAUGAUUUGGGGGAAAGACAAUAACAUGGAAGGGAUAUAAUUUGAUACCAACCUUACAGAUUCUUCUGUGAAUAUGUUUCUUCAGAACUAGCUAGUUAGGUAUAAAGGGUGUGUGGAUAAGGGUAUUCAUUGCAACAAUGUCUAAAAUAAUGGGAAAAUGGAAGCAACCCAAAUGCCCAGUAGUAGAACUGAAUGGUCCACUGUAAAUUGAAACAAGAAUCCCACUUAUAAAGAUGUCUCGAAUAAGUCGUUCAAUUGAAAACAAAGUCACAAAACUAAAUGUAUAGUGCCUAUAUGUAAUGUGCCAGAAAUAACCAGUACCAUGAAAUAAAGAUUAUGGGG
RNAcentral lists this long non-coding RNA (2392 nucleotides) under Canis lupus familiaris (dog). RNAcentral describes it as "lncRNA (ENSCAFG00000059092.1)". Lineage: Eukaryota; Metazoa; Chordata; Mammalia; Carnivora; Canidae. The record is from RNAcentral.